UGAGAUGAAGCAUAAGGUCUGUCGAU
Molecule: non-coding RNA, 26 nt
Filed under: Homo sapiens (human)
Lineage: Eukaryota; Metazoa; Chordata; Mammalia; Primates; Hominidae
Source: RNAcentral